This is a non-coding RNA of Homo sapiens (human), 117 nucleotides long. It matches the Rfam family "Metazoan signal recognition particle RNA". From Rfam's summary of the family: The signal recognition particle (SRP) is a universally conserved ribonucleoprotein. The record is from Rfam. NCBI's taxonomy places the organism in Eukaryota, Metazoa, Chordata, Mammalia, Primates, Hominidae.
GCCGGGCGUGAUGGCUCACGCCUGUAAUCCCAGCACUUUGGGAGGCUGAGACGGGUGGAUCACCUGAGGUCAGGAGUUUGAGACCAGCCUGGCCAACAUGGUGAAACCCCAUCUCUA